UGGCCAAUUUGGAAGAUUGAGUCUCAAAUAUGAUUGCUUGGUGAUUUGAUUUAACCUAUGCCAAUUAGAUUAGUCAUGAGAUGACUGAUUAGAUGAGACGUAAAUCCAAAAUCUCUCUAUUAAUAUUAAGUCCAAUGGUCUUCCACCAUUGUAGAUGUGCGGGCAUACUACCGACGUUGAUUGUUCUCGAUUGAUCACAGUGAUUCGGUU
This 210-nucleotide long non-coding RNA is filed under the name Elaeis guineensis (African oil palm). Its description in RNAcentral is "long non-coding RNA (EGUI_LNC061807)". The record is from RNAcentral. Lineage: Eukaryota; Viridiplantae; Streptophyta; Magnoliopsida; Arecales; Arecaceae.